This 1299-nucleotide ribosomal RNA is filed under the name Diaporthe eres. RNAcentral describes it as "eukaryotic LSU rRNA". It matches the Rfam family "Eukaryotic large subunit ribosomal RNA", at positions 56 to 1387 of the family's 3401-position model. The record is from RNAcentral. Lineage: Eukaryota; Fungi; Ascomycota; Sordariomycetes; Diaporthales; Diaporthaceae.
GAAAAGAAACCAACAGGGAUUGCCCUAGUAACGGCGAGUGAAGCGGCAACAGCUCAAAUUUGAAAUCUGGCCUCGGCCCGAGUUGUAAUUUGCAGAGGAUGCUUCUGGCGCGGUGCCUUCCGAGUUCCCUGGAACGGGACGCCACAGAGGGUGAGAGCCCCGUAUGGUCGGACACCAAGCCUGUGUGAAGCUCCUUCGACGAGUCGAGUAGUUUGGGAAUGCUGCUCUAAAUGGGAGGUAAAUCUCUUCUAAAGCUAAAUACCGGCCAGAGACCGAUAGCGCACAAGUAGAGUGAUCGAAAGAUGAAAAGCACCUUGAAAAGGGGGUUAAAUAGUACGUGAAAUUGUUGAAAGGGAAGCACUUAUGACCAGACUUGGGCCGGGCGGCUCAUCAGGGGUUCUCCCCUGUGCACUCCGCCCGGCACAGGCCAGCAUCGGUUCUCGUGGGGGGAUAAGACCGUCAGGAACGUAGCACCCUCCGGGGUGUGUUAUAGCCUGGCGGACGAUACCCCCGUGGGGACCGAGGUCCGCGCUCCGCAAGGAUGCUGGCGUAAUGGUCAUCAGUGACCCGUCUUGAAACACGGACCAAGGAGUCGUCCAUUAGAGCGAGCGUUUGGGUGUAAAACCCGCACGCGUAAUGAAAGUGAACGCAGGUGAGAGCUUCGGCGCAUCAUCGACCGAUCCUGAUGUUCUCGGAAGGAUUUGAGUAAGAGUUUUAACGGACGGACCCGAAAGACAGUGAACUAUGCUUGUAUAGGGUGAAGCCAGAGGAAACUCUGGUGGAGGCUCGCAGCGGUUCUGACGUGCAAAUCGAUCGUCAAAUAUGAGCAUGGGGGCGAAAGACUAAUCGAACUGUCUAGUAGCUGGUUACCGCCGAAGUUUCCCUCAGGAUAGCAGUGUUGAUCUUCAGUUUUAUGAGGUAAAGCGAAUGAUUAGGGACUCGGGGGCUAUAUAUUGCCUUCAUCCAUUCUCAAACUUUAAAUAUGUAAGAAGCCCUUGUUACUUAAUUGAACGUGGGCAUUCGAAUGUACCAACACUAGUGGGCCAUUUUUGGUAAGCAGAACUGGCGAUGCGGGAUGAACCGAACGCGGGGUUAAGGCGCCAGAGUGUACGCUCAUCAGACACCACAAAAGGCGUUAGUACAUCUUGACAGCAGGACGGUGGCCAUGGAAGUCGGAAUCCGCUAAGGACUGUGUAACAACUCACCUGCCGAAUGUACUAGCCCUGAAAAUGGAUGGCGCUCAAGCGUACCGCCCAUACCCCGCCCCCAGGGUAGAAACGAUGCCCUGGGGAGUAGGCG